GGGUUGUGAUGACUAUCUUAGGACACCUUUGUAAUACCCAUGAAAAAGAGAGUUCUUUCUGAGCAAC
Corapipo altera (White-ruffed manakin) is the source of this 67-nucleotide small nucleolar RNA. RefSeq annotates it as small nucleolar RNA SNORD58. NCBI's taxonomy places the organism in Eukaryota, Metazoa, Chordata, Aves, Passeriformes, Pipridae. The record is from RefSeq and is a predicted model, not a curated record. The transcript has a single exon.